This 3050-nucleotide ribosomal RNA is filed under the name Escherichia coli TOP293-3. RNAcentral's name for it is "bacterial LSU rRNA". It matches the Rfam family "Bacterial large subunit ribosomal RNA". The record is from RNAcentral. Lineage: Bacteria; Pseudomonadati; Pseudomonadota; Gammaproteobacteria; Enterobacterales; Enterobacteriaceae.
UUAAGCGACUAAGCGUACACGGUGGAUGCCCUGGCAGUCAGAGGCGAUGAAGGACGUGCUAAUCUGCGAUAAGCGUCGGUGAGGUGAUAUGAACCGUUAUAACCGGCGAUUUCCGAAUGGGGAAACCCAGUGUGUUUCGACACACUAUCAUUAACUGAAUCCAUAGGUUAAUGAGGCGAACCGGGGGAACUGAAACAUCUAAGUACCCCGAGGAAAAGAAAUCAACCGAGAUUCCCCCAGUAGCGGCGAGCGAACGGGGAGGAGCCCAGAGCCUGAAUCAGUGUGUGUGUUAGUGGAAGCGUCUGGAAAGGCGUGCGAUACAGGGUGACAGCCCCGUACACAAAAAUGCACAUAUUGUGAGCUCGAUGAGUAGGGCGGGACACGUGGUAUCCUGUCUGAAUAUGGGGGGACCAUCCUCCAAGGCUAAAUACUCCUGACUGACCGAUAGUGAACCAGUACCGUGAGGGAAAGGCGAAAAGAACCCCGGCGAGGGGAGUGAAAAAGAACCUGAAACCGUGUACGUACAAGCAGUGGGAGCCUCUUAAUGGGGUGACUGCGUACCUUUUGUAUAAUGGGUCAGCGACUUAUAUUCUGUAGCAAGGUUAACCGAAUAGGGGAGCCGAAGGGAAACCGAGUCUUAACUGGGCGUUAAGUUGCAGGGUAUAGACCCGAAACCCGGUGAUCUAGCCAUGGGCAGGUUGAAGGUUGGGUAACACUAACUGGAGGACCGAACCGACUAAUGUUGAAAAAUUAGCGGAUGACUUGUGGCUGGGGGUGAAAGGCCAAUCAAACCGGGAGAUAGCUGGUUCUCCCCGAAAGCUAUUUAGGUAGCGCCUCGUGAAUUCAUCUCCGGGGGUAGAGCACUGUUUCGGCAAGGGGGUCAUCCCGACUUACCAACCCGAUGCAAACUGCGAAUACCGGAGAAUGUUAUCACGGGAGACACACGGCGGGUGCUAACGUCCGUCGUGAAGAGGGAAACAACCCAGACCGCCAGCUAAGGUCCCAAAGUCAUGGUUAAGUGGGAAACGAUGUGGGAAGGCCCAGACAGCCAGGAUGUUGGCUUAGAAGCAGCCAUCAUUUAAAGAAAGCGUAAUAGCUCACUGGUCGAGUCGGCCUGCGCGGAAGAUGUAACGGGGCUAAACCAUGCACCGAAGCUGCGGCAGCGACACUAUGUGUUGUUGGGUAGGGGAGCGUUCUGUAAGCCUGUGAAGGUGGCCUGUGAGGGUUGCUGGAGGUAUCAGAAGUGCGAAUGCUGACAUAAGUAACGAUAAAGCGGGUGAAAAGCCCGCUCGCCGGAAGACCAAGGGUUCCUGUCCAACGUUAAUCGGGGCAGGGUGAGUCGACCCCUAAGGCGAGGCCGAAAGGCGUAGUCGAUGGGAAACAGGUUAAUAUUCCUGUACUUGGUGUUAAUAUUCCUGUACUUGGUGUUACUGCGAAGGGGGGACGGAGAAGGGCUAUGUUGGCCGGGCGACGGCUAUGUGUUGGCCGGGCGACGGUUGUCCCGGUUUAAGCGUAGCGUGUAGGCUGGUUUUCCAGGCAAAUCCGGAAAACCAAGGCUGAGGCGUGAUGACGAGGCACUACGGUGCUGAAGCGACAAAUGCCCUGCUUCCAGGAAAAGCCUCUAAGCAUCAGGUAACAUCAAAUCGUACCCCAAACCGACACAGGUGGUCAGGUAGAGAAUACCAAGGCGGUAGAGAAUACCAAGGCGCUUGAGAGAACUCGGGUGAAGGAACUAGGCAAAAUGGUGCCGUAACUUCGGGAGAAGGCACGCUGAUAUGUAGGUGAAGCGACGCACGCUGAUAUGUAGGUGAAGCGACUUGCUCGUGGAGCUGAAAUCAGUCGAAGAUACCAGCUGGCUGCAACUGUUUAUUAAAAACACAGCACUGUGCAAACACGAAAGUGGACGUAUACGGUGUGACGCCUGCCCGGUGCCGGAAGGUUAAUUGAUGGGGUUAGCGGCAACGCGAAGCUCUUGAUCGAAGCCCCGGUAAACGGCGGCCGUAACUAUAACGGUCCUAAGGUAGCGAAAUCGGUCCUAAGGUAGCGAAAUUCCUUGUCGGGUAAGUUCCGACCUGCACGAAUGGCGUAAUGAUGGCCAGGCUGUCUCCACCCGAGACUCAGUGAAAUUGAACUCGCUGUGAAGAUGCAGUGUACCCGCGGCAAGACGGAAAGACCCCGUGAACCUUUACUAUAGCUUGACACUGAACGAACCUUUACUGAGCCUUGAUGUGUAGGAUAGGUGGGAGGCUUUGAAGUGUGGACGCCAGUCUGCAUGGAGCCGACCUUGAAAUACCACCCUUUAAUGUUUGAUGUUCUAACGUUGGCCCGUAAUCCGGGUUGCGGACAGUGUCUGGUGGGUAGUUUGACUGGGGCGGUCUCCUCCUAAAGAGUAACGGAGGAGCACGAAGGUUGGCUAAUCCUGGUCGGACAUCAGGAGGUUAGUGCAAUGGCAUAAGCCAGCUUGACUGCGAGCGUGACGGCGCGAGCAGGUGCGAAAGCAGGUCAUAGUGAUCCGGUGGUUCUGAAUGGAAGGGCCAUCGCUCAACGGAUAAAAGGUACUCCGGGGAUAACAGGCUGAUACCGCCCAAGAGUUCAUAUCGACGGCGGUGUUUGGCACCUCGAUGGCGGUGUUUGGCACCUCUGAUGUCGGCUCAUCACAUCCUGGGGCUGAAGUAGGUCCCAAGGGUAUGGCUGUUCGCCAUUUAAAGUGGUACGCGAGCUGGGUUUAGAACGUCGUGAGACAGUUCGGUCCCUAUCUGCCGUGGGCGCUGGAGAACUGAGGGGGGCUGCUCCUAGUACGAGAGGACCGGAGUGGACGCAUCACUGGUGUUCGGGUUGUCAUGCCAAUGGCACUGCCCGGUAGCUAAAUGCGGAAGAGAUAAGUGCUGAAAGCAUCUAAGCACGAAACUUGCCCCGAGAUGAGUUCUCCCUGAGCAAGGGCCCUUCGACUCCUGAAGGAACGUUGAAGACGACGACGUUGAUAGGCCGGGUGUGUAAGCGCAGCGAUGCGUUGAGCUAACCGGUACUAAUGAACCGUGAGGCUUAACCUU